CAUUAUUUAUACAAAUGGAGUGCACUUUAUUGUGGCUCUGAACCUUUCACAUAAUCUUACCCCAAGACUUGUUUGUGUGGCAUCUUUUAGGUGACAUUGCACUCAGGUAUACGUAGCAGUUAUGCUACAUUCUCCCCCCCCCCMCCCUUUUUUUUUUAACAAUUUUUUUAACACAAGUUUGAGCUAAGAAUGUAAACAUUUAUUAAUUAUAUAAAUAACUUUUAACAAUGGAUCUCUAGGCUCUCAUAUCGAUGAAGAACACAGUGAAAUGUGAUAAGUAAUGUGAAUUGCAGAAUUCAGUGAAUCAUUGAAUCUUUGAACGCACCUUGCACCUUUUGGUAUUCCAAAAGGUACACCUGUUUGAGUGUCAUGAAAAUCUCUCAUCAAAAUAAUUUUUGGUGGAUGUUGAGUGCUGCUGCUAUCUAGCUCACUUUAAAUAUAUAAGUCUUUUUAUUCUUCUGUUUGUUGGAUUGACUUGGUGUAAUAUUUUUAUCAUCAAGGAAAGUAGCAAUACUUGCCCAAUGUUUUUGGAAAAAGGACUCCUAAAUUGAUUUUAAAUCAUUUUUAUUUUUAAG
RNAcentral lists this ribosomal RNA (575 nucleotides) under Puccinia lagenophorae. RNAcentral describes it as "eukaryotic LSU rRNA". The stretch from base 217 to 370 matches the Rfam family "5.8S ribosomal RNA". The record is from RNAcentral. Lineage: Eukaryota; Fungi; Basidiomycota; Pucciniomycetes; Pucciniales; Pucciniaceae.